AAAUGAAUGCUGAAAUUGAUUUUCUUAGCUGCUUAUUGUUUCUUCCUUUGAUAACCCAUACAUUUUAUCCUUUUUAAUUUCUUGUUGGUCAUCUACUUUGUCAGGAAAGAUUGGAAAGCUUAUUGUGUGGCAAUAAUCAUAUAUUUAUAUUCGCUCAACAUUGUGUACAUGUUGAAUCACUGAUUAAGAGAGGGAUCUUAGAGAUUAAUUGAUGUGUUGGAGAGGAAUGUUUUAAUUACCUAUUGAUGUGAAUACUCUGGUGAUUUCAUUACAGUAUUUAUAACAGUAUAAUGACGAAUAAUGGAAUUCAUUGAGGAGCACCACAAAGACAGUGCAAACCAAAUGCAGAUAAGAAUGUGUAAAAGAUAAUCAUGUUGGCUUAGCAGCCACAGACAAUUCAGAAAUUUCGUUGUAGAAGGAAAGAGUACGAAGUUAAGAAUGAUAGUAAUAAACACUAAACAUAACAUAUAAUGCAGAAAUUUGUGCAAGUGAGAAAGGGAAAA
RNAcentral lists this unclassified non-coding RNA (503 nucleotides) under Hevea brasiliensis (rubber tree). Lineage: Eukaryota; Viridiplantae; Streptophyta; Magnoliopsida; Malpighiales; Euphorbiaceae. The record is from RNAcentral.